This 224-nucleotide unclassified non-coding RNA is filed under the name Hevea brasiliensis (rubber tree). Lineage: Eukaryota; Viridiplantae; Streptophyta; Magnoliopsida; Malpighiales; Euphorbiaceae. The record is from RNAcentral.
GCUAGAGCUAGAGAUUUAUCUUCUUGUGUAUAUGGAAAACGAGUUAGAAUCUCAAAAGAUGGCAACUUUUCUGGUCCAUUUGCAUUCAAGAUAUGUUUUCCUCCAGGCUUUAGACCAAACAUGAGUUACCUUGAACAUCUUGAAAGGUGGCAGAAAAUGGAUUUUCCUUCCCCGUACUUGAACGCAAGGAGAUUUGACGCAGCUGAUCCAAAGGCGAGAAAGAG